Long non-coding RNA from Hemicordylus capensis (graceful crag lizard), 688 nucleotides. RefSeq lists it as uncharacterized. Lineage: Eukaryota; Metazoa; Chordata; Lepidosauria; Squamata; Cordylidae. The record is from RefSeq and is a predicted model, not a curated record. The transcript has 3 exons.
CUCACCGGGAAGGUCUCGAUCUAGCUAGUAAAACCACGAACCUUUCACCUAAUAUAUCAAGAGUCAACACUCUCCAUCUGCAGUAAUGUACCUUCUGUGAUCUCAUCUCCUUUUGAACCUGCAAUCUCUGUCUGCAAUCUCCUGCCUCUGUACUUUGCACUUAGGCUUACCAGCUGGUCUUCUGUCCAGGCACUGCCUAAGAUCCAGCCUGGAGUAUCUUUCAGCAGCUUGAGCCUUCAAAGGAUACCCCAGGACCUAGAACUGGUUGCCUAAAGAAGACUGUUACAUCUUGCUUUGAGCAGAACUUGAAAAUGUGGCUUUAGUGCAUCCUGAGAUCAGAACCAACUACCCAGAGGGACACUUCACAACUUCACAAGCAACUGUGUGUACAGAUUGUGUGUUUCUCUAUCCCUUUCAUUACAACAGUCCUAUGCUCCACUGCAAGUUGUUUUUGAAACUCCCAGGUAUGCUGAGAGAUGAGCAAGCUGAUGUUUGGAAAGAAAUAAAAGCUACGUUGUGUGUAUAGAUUUGCUGCGUUAUCCUUCUCUGACUCAUUGCUCAUGUAUUAUCUUGAAAAUUGUAAUGGGGGCAGGUCAUAUCUGCUAAAUCUAGAGGCCCAAUUCAUAUUCUGUUGAGCUGGCAACUCUGCAAUUCAUCUGAUGUUCAGCACACAUAUAAUCCUACUUUA